GGACCACAGCUCAGUGGUGGAGCAUCUGCUUUGCAUGCAGAAGGCCCCAGAUUCAAUACCUGCCAUCUCCA
Podarcis lilfordi (Lilford's wall lizard) is the source of this 71-nucleotide non-coding RNA. NCBI's taxonomy places the organism in Eukaryota, Metazoa, Chordata, Lepidosauria, Squamata, Lacertidae. The record is from the annotation of a GenBank genome assembly.